AGCCAACUAGCUAGCCCAAUAAACAAAAACAACAACCAAAUAUUAAUACCCCCAAAUACACAUCAAACCAUUCAAAAUUAAAACAUUUUUCCUCCUUAGUAUAGGCGACAGAAAAGGAUAAACCGGAGCAAUAGAGAAAGUACCGCAAGGGAAUGCUGAAAGAGAAAUGAAACAACCCAGUCAAGCCUAAAAAAGCAAAGAUAAAUCCUUGUACCUUUUGCAUCAUGAUUUAGCUAGAACCAUCCAAGCAAAGAGAACUUUAGUUUGGACCCCCGAAACUACGUGAGCUACUCCAAGACAGCCUAAUUUAUAGGGCAAACCCAUCUCUGUGGCAAAAGAGCGGGAAGAGCUUCGAGUAGGGGUGACAGACCUAUCGAACCUAGUUAUAGCUGGUUGCCUGAGAAAUGAAUAGCAGUUCAGCCUCCUAACUUCUACCUUCAACAAAUUAUAUAUAGAGAUUUCAUGAAAUUAGGAGAGUUAGUCAAAGGGGGUACAGCCCCUUUGAAACAAGAAACAACUUUACCAGGAGGGUAUGGAUCACAGUUAUUAAGGCAUAGUGUCUUGGUGGGCCUAAAAGCAGCCACCCAAUAGAAAGCGUUAAAGCUCGAGCACUAACCCUACCCACAUAUUCAGAUAAUAUAUUCCCAACCCCCUAAUAUUACCAGGCUACCUCAUGCAUACAUGAGAGUAUUAAUGCUAAUAUGAGUAAUAAGAGGGGUACGCCCCUCUCCUUGCACACAUGUACAUCGGAACGAACCCCCACCGAAAUUUAACGGCCCCUAAAAAAGAGGGUAAUGGAUGUAAAAGCAGGGAACCAGAAAACCAUCCAAAAAUUAACCGUUGACCCCACACUGGUGUGCCCUUAAGGAAAGACUAAAAGAAAGAGAGGGAACUCGGCAAACACAAGCCUCGCCUGUUUACCAAAAACAUCGCCUCUUGCUAAUCCAAGUAUAAGAGGUCUAGCCUGCCCUGUGACUUAAAUGUUUAACGGCCGCGGUAUCCUAACCGUGCGAAGGUAGCGCAAUCACUUGUUUCUUAAAUGGAGACCUGUAUGAAUGGCAUAACGAGGGCUUAACUGUCCCCUUUUUCCGGUCAAUGAAAUUGAUCUCCCCGUGCAGAAGCGGGGAUACAACCAUAAGACGAGAAGACCCUGUGGAGCUUUAGGCAUCAAGACAUAUCAUGCUUACUAACCCUUAACUUAAUAAGGCCUCAAAUGAAUUCAUGUCGGUAUGCCUUCGGUUGGGGCGACCAAGGGGAAUAAAAAACCCCCAUGUGGAAUGGGAGCACCAAACCCUCCUAUAACCAAGAAAUUACAAUUCUAAGAAACAAAAUAUUUGACCUAAAGAUCCGGCAAAGCCGAUCAACGAACCAAGUUACCCCAGGGAUAACAGCGCAAUCCCCUUUUAGAGUCCCUAUCGACAAGGGGGUUUACGACCUCGAUGUUGGAUCAGGACAUCCUAAUGGUGCAGCCGCUAUUAAUGGUUCGUUUGUUCAACGAUUAAAGUCCUACGUGAUCUGAGUUCAGACCGGAGUAAUCCAGGUCGGUUUCUAUCUAUGCUAUAUUCUUUUUUAGUACGAAAGGACCAAAAAGGAGAGGUCCAUACUCUAAGUACACCUCACCCCUUCCUAAUGAAAACAACUAAAAUAGGUAAAAGGGAAUACCUCUUAUAGCCAAAAAUAAUGGCAU
Molecule: ribosomal RNA, 1687 nt
Filed under: Pampus minor
Lineage: Eukaryota; Metazoa; Chordata; Actinopteri; Scombriformes; Stromateidae
Description: 16S ribosomal RNA
Rfam family: Bacterial large subunit ribosomal RNA
Source: RNAcentral